ACGGGUGAGUAACGCGUGGGAAUCUACCGUACCCUACGGAGUAGCUCUGGGAAACUGGAAGUAAUACCGUAUACGCCCUUCGGGGGAAAGAUUUAUCGGGGUAUGAUGAGCCCGCGUUGGAUUAGCUAGUUGGUGGGGUAAAGGCCUACCAAGGCGACGAUCCAUAGCUGGUCUGAGAGGAUGAUCAGCCACAUUGGGACUGAGACACGGCCCAAACUCCUACGGGAGGCAGCAGUGGGGAAUAUUGGACAAUGGGCGCAAGCCUGAUCCAGCCAUGCCGCGUGAGCGAUGAAGGUCUUAGGAUUGUAAAGCUCUUUCACCGGAGAAGAUAAUGACGGUAUCCGGAGAAGAAGCCCCGGCUAACUCCGUGCCAGCAGCCGCGGUAAUACGAAGGGGGCUAGCGUUGUUCGGAAUUACUGGGCGUAAAGCGCACGUAGGCGGGUAUUUAAGUCAGGGGUGAAAUCCCAGAGCUCAACUCUGGAACUGCCUUUGAUACUGGGUAUCUUGAGUAUGGAAGAGGUAAGUGGAAUUGCGAGU
Molecule: ribosomal RNA, 537 nt
Filed under: uncultured bacterium
Lineage: Bacteria
Description: bacterial SSU rRNA
Rfam family: Bacterial small subunit ribosomal RNA
Source: RNAcentral